This 1346-nucleotide ribosomal RNA is filed under the name uncultured bacterium. RNAcentral describes it as "partial 16S ribosomal RNA". It matches the Rfam family "Bacterial small subunit ribosomal RNA", at positions 28 to 1381 of the family's 1533-position model. The record is from RNAcentral.
GACGAACGCUGGCGGCGUGCUUAACACAUGCAAGUCGAACGGAAAGGCCCUGCUUUUGUGGGGUGCUCGAGUGGCGAACGGGUGAGUAACACGUGAGUAACCUGCCCUUGACUUUGGGAUAACUUCAGGAAACUGGGGCUAAUACCGGAUAGGAGCUCCUGCUGCAUGGUGGGGGUUGGAAAGUUUCGGCGGUUGGGGAUGGACUCGCGGCUUAUCAGCUUGUUGGUGGGGUAGUGGCUUACCAAGGCUUUGACGGGUAGCCGGCCUGAGAGGGUGACCGGCCACAUUGGGACUGAGAUACGGCCCAGACUCCUACGGGAGGCAGCAGUGGGGAAUAUUGCACAAUGGGCGGAAGCCUGAUGCAGCAACGCCGCGUGCGGGAUGACGGCCUUCGGGUUGUAAACCGCUUUCGCCUGUGACGAAGCGUGAGUGACGGUAAUGGGUAGAGAAGCACCGGCUAACUACGUGCCAGCAGCCGCGGUGAUACGUAGGGUGCGAGCGUUGUCCGGAUUUAUUGGGCGUAAAGGGCUCGUAGGUGGUUGAUCGCGUCGGAAGUGUAAUCUUGGGGCUUAACCCUGAGCGUGCUUUCGAUACGGGUUGACUUGAGGAAGGUAGGGGAGAAUGGAAUUCCUGGUGGAGCGGUGGAAUGCGCAGAUAUCAGGAGGAACACCAGUGGCGAAGGCGGUUCUCUGGGCCUUUCCUGACGCUGAGGAGCGAAAGCGUGGGGAGCGAACAGGCUUAGAUACCCUGGUAGUCCACGCUGUAAACGGUGGGUACUAGGUGUGGGGUCCAUUCCACGGGUUCCGUGCCGUAGCUAACGCUUUAAGUACCCCGCCUGGGGAGUACGGCCGCAAGGCUAAAACUCAAAGGAAUUGACGGGGCCCCGCACAAGCGGCGGAGCAUGCGGAUUAAUUCGAUGCAACGCGUAGAACCUUACCUGGGUUUGACAUGGAUCGGGAGUGCUCAGAGAUGGGUGUGCCUCUUUUGGGGUCGGUUCACAGGUGGUGCAUGGCUGUCGUCAGCUCGUGUCGUGAGAUGUUGGGUUAAGUCCCGCAACGAGCGCAACCCUUGUUCACUGUUGCCAGCACGUUAUGGUGGGGACUCAGUGGAGACCGCCGGGGUCAACUCGGAGGAAGGUGGGGAUGACGUCAAGUCAUCAUGCCCCUUAUGUCCAGGGCUUCACGCAUGCUACAAUGGCUGGUACAGAGAGUGGCGAGCCUGUGAGGGUGAGCGAAUCUCGGAAAGCCGGUCUCAGUUCGGAUUGGGGUCUGCAACUCGACCUCAUGAAGUCGGAGUCGCUAGUAAUCGCAGAUCAGCAACGCUGCGGUGAAUACGUCCCCGGGGCU